AGAGUUUGAUCAUGGCUCAGAACGUACGCUGGCGGCACGCCUAACACAUGCAAGUCGAACGCAGUAGCAAUACUGAGUGGCAGACGGGUGAGUAUAAUGUGGGAAUCUGCCUUUUGGUUCGGAAUAACUCGGGGAAACUUGAGCUAAUACCGGAUAAGCCCUUACGGGGAAAGAUUUAUCGCCGAAAGAUGAGCCCGCACUUGAUUAGCUAGUUGGUGAGGUAAUUGCUCACCAAGGCAACAAUCAAUAGCUGUUCUUAGAGGAAGACCAGCCACAUUGGGACUGAGACACGGCCCAGACUCCUACGGGAGGCAGCAGUGGGGAAUCUUGCACAAUGGGGGAAACCCUGAUGCAGCGAUGCCGCGUGAGUGAAGAAGGCCUUUGGGUUGUAAAACUCUUUCGUCGGGGAAGAAAAUGACUGUACCCGAAUAAGAAGGUCCGGCUAACUUCGUGCCAGCAGCCGCGGUAAUACGAAGGGACCUAGCGUAGUUCGGAAUUACUGGGCUUAAAGAGCUCGUAGGUGGUUAAAAAAGUUGGUGGUGAAAUCCCAAGGCUUAACCUUGGAACUGCCAUCAAAACUUUUUAGCUUGAGUGUGAUAGAGGAAAGUGGAAUUUCUAGUGUAGAGGUGAAAUUCGUAGAUAUUAGAAAGAACACCAAAUGCGAAGGCAACUUUCUGGAUCACUACUGACACUGAGGAGCGAAAGCAUGGGUAGCGAAGAGGAUUAGAUACCCUCGUAGUCCAUGCUGUAAACGAUGUGUGCUAGACGUUGGAAAUUUUAUUUUCAGUGUCGCAGCAAAAGCGUUAAGCACACCGCCUGGGGAGUACGACCGCAAGGUUAAAACUCAAAUGAAUUGACGGGGACCCGCACAAGCAGUGGAGCAUGUGG
RNAcentral lists this ribosomal RNA (888 nucleotides) under uncultured bacterium. Its description in RNAcentral is "bacterial SSU rRNA". It matches the Rfam family "Bacterial small subunit ribosomal RNA", at positions 8 to 944 of the family's 1533-position model. The record is from RNAcentral.